GAUGAAGAACGUAGCGAAAUGCGAUAAGUAAUGUGAAUUGCAGAAUUCAGUGAAUCAUCGAAUCUUUGAACGCACAUUGCGCCCCUUGGUAUUCCGAGGGGCAUGCCUGUUCGAGCGUCAUUAUCACCCCUCAAGCUUUGCUUGGUGUUGGGGCCUGCUGUAAUAGGCAGCCCUUAAAAUCAGUGGCGGUGCUUCAAGGCUCUAAGCGUAGUAAUUCUCCUCGCUAUAGUGUCUAGUGGUUGCCAGCCAGAACCACCCAUUUUUUAUGAUUGACCUCGGAUCAGGUAGGGAUACCCGCUGAACUUAAGCAUAUCAAUAAGCGGAGGA
Molecule: unclassified non-coding RNA, 327 nt
Filed under: soil metagenome
Description: partial contains 5.8S ribosomal RNA, internal transcribed spacer 2, and large subunit ribosomal RNA
Rfam family: 5.8S ribosomal RNA (bases 1-120)
Source: RNAcentral